RNAcentral lists this non-coding RNA (44 nucleotides) under Leuconostoc fallax KCTC 3537. Lineage: Bacteria; Bacillati; Bacillota; Bacilli; Lactobacillales; Lactobacillaceae. The record is from RNAcentral.
GGUUGGGCGUAAGCUUCAAGAAUGAAUUAGUCGGGGAACUAAUU